AGUGAACGCUGGCGGUAGGCCUAACACAUGCAAGUCGAACGGCAGCACAGUAAGAGCUUGCUCUUACGGGUGGCGAGUGGCGGACGGGUGAGGAAUACAUCGGAUUCUACAUUUUCGUGGGGGAUAACGUAGGGAAACUUACGCUAAUACAGCAUACGACCUACGGGUGAAAGCAGGGGAUCUUCGGACCUUGCGCGAUUGAAUGAGCCGAUGUCGGAUUAGCUAGUUGGCGGGGUCAAGGCCCACCAAGGCGAAGAUCCGUAGCUGGUCUGAGAGGAUGAUCAGCCACACUGGAUCUGAGACACGGUCGAGACUCCUGCGGUAGGGAGCAGUGGAGAAUAUUGGACAAUGGGGGCGAGCCUGAUCCAGCCCUACCGCGUAGGUCAAGAAGGCCUCCGGGUUGUAAAGCCCUUUUGUUGGUAAAAAAAAGCAGCAGUUUAAUACCCCGCGGUUCUGACGGUACCCAAAGAAUAAGCACCGGCUAACUUCGUG
This 492-nucleotide ribosomal RNA is filed under the name uncultured bacterium. RNAcentral's name for it is "partial 16S ribosomal RNA". It matches the Rfam family "Bacterial small subunit ribosomal RNA", at positions 29 to 507 of the family's 1533-position model. The record is from RNAcentral.